GAUGAACGCUGGCGGCGUGCCUAAUACAUGCAAGUCGAGCGAACGGACGAGAAGCUUGCUUCUCUGAUGUUAGCGGCGGACGGGUGAGUAACACGUGGAUAACCUACCUAUAAGACUGGGAUAACUUCGGGAAACCGGAGCUAAUACCGGAUAAUAUUUUGAACCGCAUGGUUCAAAAGUGAAAGACGGUCUUGCUGUCACUUAUAGAUGGAUCCGCGCUGCAUUAGCUAGUUGGUAAGGUAACGGCUUACCAAGGCAACGAUGCAUAGACGACCUGAGAGGGGGAUAGGCGACCCUGGAACGUGGACAGGGUCAAGACUCCUACGGGAGGCAGCAGUAGGGUAUCUUCCGCAGUGGGCGAGAGCCUGACGGAGCAACGCGGAGUGAGAGAUGAAGGUCUUCGGAUCGUAAAACUCUGUUAUUAGGGAAGAACAUAUGUGUAAGUAACUGUGCACAUCUUGACGGUACCUAAUCAGAAAGCCACGGCUAACUACGUG
RNAcentral lists this ribosomal RNA (497 nucleotides) under uncultured bacterium. RNAcentral's name for it is "partial 16S ribosomal RNA". It matches the Rfam family "Bacterial small subunit ribosomal RNA", at positions 28 to 507 of the family's 1533-position model. The record is from RNAcentral.